GCUGGGUGUGGUGGUUCAUGCCUGUAAUCCCAGCAACUCAGGAGGCUGAGGCAAGAGAAUCACAAGUUCAAGGCCAGCCUCACCAACUGUAGUGAGGCCCUAAGCAACUUUGUGAGACUCUGUCUCAA
This 128-nucleotide small RNA is filed under the name Marmota monax (woodchuck). Lineage: Eukaryota; Metazoa; Chordata; Mammalia; Rodentia; Sciuridae. The record is from RNAcentral.